RNAcentral lists this ribosomal RNA (305 nucleotides) under uncultured bacterium. RNAcentral describes it as "bacterial SSU rRNA". It matches the Rfam family "Bacterial small subunit ribosomal RNA", at positions 334 to 656 of the family's 1533-position model. The record is from RNAcentral.
CUGUCCUACGGGGGGCAGCAGUGGGGAAUAUUGCACAAUGGGGGAAACCCUGAUGCAGCGACGCCGCGUGAGUGAAGAAGUAUCUCGGUACGUAAAGCUCUAUCAGCAGGGAAGAAAAUGACGGUACCUGACUAAGAAGCCCCGGCUAACUACGUGCCAGCAGCCGCGGUAAUACGUAUGGAGCAAGCGUUAUCCGGAUUUACUGGGUGUAAAGGGAGCGUAGGCGGCUCUGUAAGUCUGAUGUGAAAAUUUGGGGCUCAACCCCAAACGUGCAUUGGAAACUGCAGGGCUUGAGUGCCGGAGAG